Molecule: ribosomal RNA, 417 nt
Filed under: Triticum aestivum (bread wheat)
Lineage: Eukaryota; Viridiplantae; Streptophyta; Magnoliopsida; Poales; Poaceae
Description: partial small subunit ribosomal RNA
Source: RNAcentral
AUGCGCCAGCGGCACGGGUGGUCAGGCCUGAGCAGCGAGCUCUUCUGCCCCCUCCUCAUUGGAUCGGCGGCCAGGGAGGCCAGAUCGUGUGGCACGAGAGAAGGCUCAUGUGUGAGGAAGGGGAGGAGCAACAUGCGUCGAUUGGGGAUGGGAGGAGCAACGGGUGCCACUGAAGGGAGGGGAGCAGCGGCAAGCGCGGAGGGAGGGGAGCACGGGAGCCCCAAGGGAGGCAGAGCAGCGGCAGGUGGCGUGGAGGUUGGAGAUCUUGGUGAGGACGGCGCGACGCGAGGUCAUGGUGGCAUGUGUCGGAGCAGUGGUAGGUGGCGUGUGCAGAAAAUGAGUGACAAGGAUGAUGAGAAUAAAGGGAGUGCAAUGUGGUUAUUGAAGAAGGGCAAGGAAGAGGAAGACACAUGUUAG